This 505-nucleotide ribosomal RNA is filed under the name uncultured bacterium. RNAcentral describes it as "partial 16S ribosomal RNA". It matches the Rfam family "Bacterial small subunit ribosomal RNA", at positions 28 to 507 of the family's 1533-position model. The record is from RNAcentral.
GACGAACGCUGGCGGCGUGCCUAAUACAUGCAAGUAGAACGCACAGUUUAUACCGUGGCUUGCUACACCAUAGACUGUGAGUUGCGAACGGGUGAGUAACGCGUAGGUAACCUGCCUGGUAGCGGGGGAUAACUAUUGGAAACGAUAGCUAAUACCGCAUAAUAUUAAUUAUUGCAUGAUAAUUAAUUGAAAGGUGCAAUUGCACCACUACCAGAUGGACCUGCGUUGUAUUAGCUAGUAGGUGAGGUAACGGCGCACCUAGGCGACGAUACAUAGCCGACCUGAGAGGGUGAUCGGCCACACUGGGACUGAGACACGGCCCAGACUCCUACGGGAGGCAGCAGUAGGGAAUCUUCGGCAAUGGACGAAAGUCUGACCGAGCAACGCCGCGUGAGUGAAGAAGGUUUUCGGAUCGUAAAGCUCUGUUGUAAGAGAAGAACGGGUGUGAGAGUGGAAAGUUCACACUGUGACGGUAUCUUACCAGAAAGGGGCGGCUAACUACGUG